CAGAGAAUAGUUUAAAUAAAAUAUUAAUUUUGGGAAUUAAAGAUAAAGGUUCUUUUUCUCUGA
RNAcentral lists this transfer RNA (63 nucleotides) under Quadrella coronata. RNAcentral's name for it is "tRNA-Pro". It matches the Rfam family "tRNA". From Rfam's summary of the family: Transfer RNA (tRNA) molecules are approximately 80 nucleotides in length. Their secondary structure includes four short double-helical elements and three loops (D, anti-codon, and T loops). Lineage: Eukaryota; Metazoa; Arthropoda; Malacostraca; Decapoda; Trapeziidae. The record is from RNAcentral.